GAUACGUGUUGGGCAGUUGCUACCCCCUAUUUAGAAGGGAUAGAGGAAAGUCCGAACUCCGCAGAACAAGGUGCCGGGUAAUGCCCGGGGGCGUUGUAACGCAAGUUCAAGGCUACGGAAAGUGCCACAGAAAAAAUACCGCUCCGAUUUGAUUCGGGGUAAGGGUGAAAUGGCGAGGUAAGAGCUCACCGUUCCGAUAGUAAUAUCGGAAGCUGGGCAAACCACACCUGGUGCAAGGUCAAGCAGAAAGCAUCCCGAUUUAUCGGGGCAAGGCUGUUCGUCUUGGUUGUCUGCUUUUUUUUAGCAGACAUUGUUUUCGGGUAGACCGCUGGAUCAUGGCAGUAAUGCUGUGGCGAGAUAAAUAACUGCCGCCCCUGAUUUCAAUCGGGGGAACAGAAUUCGGCUUAUAAACACGUAUCAUUA
This 423-nucleotide RNase P RNA is filed under the name Ignavibacteriales bacterium. RNAcentral's name for it is "RNase P RNA component class A". It matches the Rfam family "Bacterial RNase P class A". Rfam says of the family: Ribonuclease P (RNase P) is a ubiquitous endoribonuclease, found in archaea, bacteria and eukarya as well as chloroplasts and mitochondria. Its best characterised activity is the generation of mature 5'-ends of tRNAs by cleaving the 5'-leader elements of precursor-tRNAs. The record is from RNAcentral. Lineage: Bacteria; Pseudomonadati; Ignavibacteriota; Ignavibacteria; Ignavibacteriales.